AGUGGGCGCUGUCGGAUUUAUUGGGCGUAAGCGAGCGCAGGCGGUUUUUUAAGUCUGAUGUGAAAGCCUUCGGCUCAACCGAAGAAGUGCAUCGGAAACUGGGAAACUUGAGUGCAGAAGAGGACAGUGGAACUCCAUGUGUAGCGGUGAAAUGCGUAGAUAUAUGGAAGAACACCAGUGGCGAAGGCGGCUGUCUGGUCUGUAACUGACGCUGAGGCUCGAAAGUAUGGGUAGCAAACAGGAUUAGAUACCCUGGUAGUCCAUACCGUAAACGAUGAAUGCUAAGUGUUGGAGGGUUUCCGCCCUUCAGUGCUGCAGCUAACGCAUUAAGCAUUCCGCCUGGGGAGUACGGCCGCAAGGCUGAAACUCAAAGGAAUUGACGGGGGCCCGCACAAGCGGUGGAGCAUGUGGUUUAAUUCGAAGCUACGCGAAGAACCUUACCAGGUCUUGACAUACUAUGCAAAUCUAAGAGAUUAGACGUUCCCUUCGGGGACAUGGAUACAGGUGGUGCAUGGUUGUCGUCAGCUCGUGUCGUGAGAUGUUGGGUUAAGUCCC
Molecule: ribosomal RNA, 555 nt
Filed under: Lactiplantibacillus plantarum
Lineage: Bacteria; Bacillati; Bacillota; Bacilli; Lactobacillales; Lactobacillaceae
Description: bacterial SSU rRNA
Rfam family: Bacterial small subunit ribosomal RNA
Source: RNAcentral